This 483-nucleotide ribosomal RNA is filed under the name uncultured bacterium. RNAcentral's name for it is "partial 16S ribosomal RNA". It matches the Rfam family "Bacterial small subunit ribosomal RNA", at positions 28 to 523 of the family's 1533-position model. The record is from RNAcentral.
GACGAACGCUGGCGGCGUGCUUAACACAUGCAAGUCGAACGAUGAAGCUGGAGCUUGCUCCGGUGGAUUAGUGGCGAACGGGUGAGUAACACGUGAGCAAUCUGCCCUUGACUCUAGGAUAACUGCGGGAAACUGUAGCUAAUACCGGAUACGAGAUUUGGAGGCAUCUCCGGAUCUGGAAAGAAUUUCGGUCAAGGAUGAGCUCGCGGCCUAUCAGCUUGUUGGUGAGGUAAUGGCUCACCAAGGCGACGACGGGUAGCCGGCCUGGGAGGGUGAACGGCCACACUGGGACUGAGACACGGCCCAGACUCCUACGGGAGGCAGCAGUGGGGAAUAUUGCACAAUGGGCGAAAGCCUGAUGCAGCAACGCCGCGUGAGGGAUGAAGGCCUUCGGGUUGUAAACCUCUUUUAGUUGGGAAGAAGCGAAAGUGACGAUACCUACAGAAAAAGCACCGGCUAACUACGUGCCAGCCGCCGCAGUAA